Molecule: ribosomal RNA, 854 nt
Filed under: Curvularia tropicalis
Lineage: Eukaryota; Fungi; Ascomycota; Dothideomycetes; Pleosporales; Pleosporaceae
Description: eukaryotic LSU rRNA
Rfam family: Eukaryotic large subunit ribosomal RNA
Source: RNAcentral
ACAGGGAUUGCCCUAGUAACGGCGAGUGAAGCGGCAACAGCUCAAAUUUGAAAUCUGGCUCUUUCAGAGUCCGAGUUGUAAUUUGCAGAGGGCGCUUUGGCUUUGGCAGCGGUCCAAGUUCCUUGGAACAGGACGUCACAGAGGGUGAGAAUCCCGUACGUGGUCGCUAGCUAUUGCCGUGUAAAGCCCCUUCGACGAGUCGAGUUGUUUGGGAAUGCAGCUCUAAAUGGGAGGUAAAUUUCUUCUAAAGCUAAAUAUUGGCCAGAGACCGAUAGCGCACAAGUAGAGUGAUCGAAAGAUGAAAAGCACUUUGGAAAGAGAGUCAAACAGCACGUGAAAUUGUUGAAAGGGAAGCGCUUGCAGCCAGACUUGCUUGCAGUUGCUCAUCCGGGCUUUUGCCCGGUGCACUCUUCUGCAGGCAGGCCAGCAUCAGUUUGGGCGGUGGGAUAAAGGUCUCUGACACGUUCCUUCCUUCGGGUUGGCCAUAUAGGGGAGACGUCAUACCACCAGCCUGGACUGAGGUCCGCGCAUCUGCUAGGAUGCUGGCGUAAUGGCUGUAAGCGGCCCGUCUUGAAACACGGACCAAGGAGUCUAACAUCUAUGCGAGUGUUUGGGUGUCAAGCCCGAGCGCGUAAUGAAAGUGAACGGAGGUGGGAACCCGCAAGGGCGCACCAUCGACCGAUCCUGAAGUUUACGGAAGGAUUUGAGUAAGAGCAUGGCUGUUGGGACCCGAAAGAUGGUGAACUAUGCUUGAAUAGGGUGAAGCCAGAGGAAACUCUGGUGGAGGCUCGCAGCGGUUCUGACGUGCAAAUCGAUCGUCAAAUUUGGGCAUAGGGGCGAAAGACUAAUCGAAC